Molecule: long non-coding RNA, 726 nt
Filed under: Homo sapiens (human)
Lineage: Eukaryota; Metazoa; Chordata; Mammalia; Primates; Hominidae
Description: non-protein coding lnc-SNX13-4:2
Source: RNAcentral
UAGAUAACGUAAGCCCUAAUAAGCCCUUGUGAAGAUUUUAGCGCCAAUCUAAACGGUAGAAAUCAAGGUUCCUGUUACUUUGAGUCCUUCUAAGAAUUUCAGAUACCUUUUAUGUUUUCUAGCAGAGCUGAGAAACCUCAAGCGUUUUGGGGGGCUGGGGACAUUACAUAGCAGCACAUACAUAAGCUCAUUGUAGCAAGAUAAGACCCACAGCUUAGAAUUCUGGCCAGCCACUGGUACCAGCAUUGUAACUCCCUAAGGAAGAGCUCCCAGGGGGACAGGCAGGCCUCCAUCUUUACUGUUCAGGUACAUUAGCUGUUCCAGCAGGCCUGGGCCUCUAGCCAUCCCCCACCAGAGCUAUCAAGCCCGUGGCAACUUGGCAACUCCCUGGACAGAGCACCCUGGGUCAACUGAAAGCUUCUCCUGUAUUGCUUUAUUUUGAUUCUCAUUCUCCUUGGAUUGGAGUUUGCUUCCCUCCUGAAUCUCAAUGAUGUUCUUAUCCAUAUUCUGAAUGAUAUUUCUGUCAUCUCAAAUGAAUCUAUAAUAUUGAUUAUGGAAAAUUGCAUUUGGCAAAGACUGAAAAAAAAAUAAAAAAUAGCCGAGCAUGGUGGUGUUUGUCUUUAGUCCCAGUUACUCGGGAGGCUGGGGUGGGAGGAUCAUUUAAGCCUGGGUGGUUAACGCUGCAUUGAGCCAAGAUCGUGCCACCACACUUCAGCCUGGGUGACA